This 863-nucleotide ribosomal RNA is filed under the name uncultured bacterium. RNAcentral's name for it is "bacterial SSU rRNA". It matches the Rfam family "Bacterial small subunit ribosomal RNA", at positions 51 to 927 of the family's 1533-position model. The record is from RNAcentral.
ACACAUGCAAGUCGAACGAGCGAGAGAGAGCUUGCUUUCUCGAGCGAGUGGCGAACGGGUGAGUAAUGCGUGAGGAAUCUGCCUCAAAGAGGGGGACAACAGUUGGAAACGACUGCUAAUACCGCAUAAGCCCACGGCUCGGCAUCGAGCAGAGGGAAAAGGAGCAAUCCGCUUUGAGAUGGCCUCGCGUCCGAUUAGCUAGUUGGUGAGGUAACGGCCCACCAAGGCGACGAUCGGUAGCCGGACUGAGAGGUUGAACGGCCACAUUGGGACUGAGACACGGCCCAGACUCCUACGGGAGGCAGCAGUGGGGAAUAUUGCACAAUGGGGGAAACCCUGAUGCAGCGACGCCGCGUGGAGGAAGAAGGUCUUCGGAUUGUAAACUCCUGUUGUUGGGGAAGAUAAUGACGGUACCCAACAAGGAAGUGACGGCUAACUACGUGCCAGCAGCCGCGGUAAAACGUAGGUCACAAGCGUUGUCCGGAAUUACUGGGUGUAAAGGGAGCGCAGGCGGGAAGACAAGUUGGAAGUGAAAUCUAUGGGCUCAACCCAUAAACUGCUUUCAAAACUGUUUUUCUUGAGUAGUGCAGAGGUAGGCGGAAUUCCCGGUGUAGCGGUGGAAUGCGUAGAUAUCGGGAGGAACACCAGUGGCGAGGGCGGCCUACUGGGCACCAACUGACGCUGAGGCUCGAAAGUGUGGGUAGCAAACAAGAUUAGAUACCCUGGUAGUCCACACCGUAAACGAUGAUUACUAGGUGUUGGAGGAUUGACCCCUUCAGUGCCGCAGUUAACACAAUAAGUAAUCCACCUGGGGAGUACGACCGCAAGGUUGAAACUCGAAGGAAUUGACGGGGGCCCGCACA